This 279-nucleotide long non-coding RNA is filed under the name Paramuricea clavata. The record is from RNAcentral. Lineage: Eukaryota; Metazoa; Cnidaria; Anthozoa; Malacalcyonacea; Plexauridae.
GGGGCUUCGGUGGCCAAGUGGUUAGCGCACUUGCCUUUCACCUCUGAGGCUGCAGGUUCGAGUCUCACUAAGUACCUUCUCAGUGCGACCCGAACCCAGUCCCCAUGCGAAAAGAGUAAAAAGUCAACGCUCUGCCGAAAGCCGUGGGUUUUCCCCGGGUACUCCGGUUUCCUCCCACAGGGAAAGUUGACAGGGUGGGUUAGGUAAAAAGGGCCCACAGUAAUUGGCAUAUGCUGUUGUGGUGACCCUGCCCUAGUUGGCAAAGCUAAAUAAAUAAAU